AGCGGAGCCCUCCCUGCUCCCGGGCGGCUUUGGAGGAGCUCGGUGUUUGCCUCCAGCCCUUCGCUACCGGAGGAUCAGGUUCCUCCCCUCCUCCCCCUCCAGCUCCGGCCGCCGCCGCCUCCUUCUUGCAUGACACAGCAGAACCGCAGCUGCUGCAGCAAUUCCAAGCCAUCCGCCCAGGAAGCGCCGCAACCGGGACUCGGGAGGGGUGGAGGGGGCGAGGCAGGGGCCACGGCCCCGGGGGAUCCUCGGCCCCACUGUGCACCACACACUCCUUUCCCAGCCCAGGGGCACGCGAACAAAAUGAGGCUCAAGCUGACCAGGCCGAGCUGGAGGAACGCUGGGGCUUGGCAGCAGAAGGGAUGGGACCAGAGAGAAGGGUGUGGAGGAGACCCCAGUGAGGGCCAGGACAUUUCAGGUAAAGAGAGGUCAUAUCUCCGUACCUCACUUCCUGACACAAACAAGUUUUCACUGUUGUCAGCAACAAAGCCCUAAUAUAGCUGCGGAAGAGAAAAACUGCAUUGCAUUUUGCCUCCUGCAAGCAUCAUCAACAGUUACUGGAGGAAUGUAAUUCCAGAAAGCUUGAAAGCCGUGGUGAUGGUAAUUAUGUAUCAAAUGCCUGGUUCUAUUUCUGUUAUUAUUGUUUUGUCAUUUCUGCGAUCUGACUGAACUUGCAGAGGGACAAAUCCGGUUUUUCUUUUUGACUUUUGUCAAACUGAAUCAGGCCUGAUAGAAAACUCAUUGCUCUCCGAGGAAACAAAGUAGGAGCCACGAAAUGUCAUUUUAACAGAGCGUGGGUUUGGUGACUGUAGGAAAGGAUUUGAGGACGCUCCUUCUGUUCGGCUUCCUAUGUCAUGAGCACAGACUCCACGCACGCACAGACACCACGGCUCCCGGAUGCUAUGGCUCCCCGAUCUGGGCUCCUGCAGCGCCAGAAGCCCCUCCGGGAUGCUGCGAGGGGCUCCCGGUGGGUGGAGGUACGGACGCCUCUGCGGCCGCCGCCGCCAGUCCUGCUGCUGUUGUUGCUGCUGCAGUCACGUGGGAGCCCCUUUAAGUUUCCAUAGAGAGGCCUCUCUGGUGUCACAUGAUGGACAUGAUAUAAUGAAACAACAUUGUGGAGAGGAAAGCAUUAGGGGAGCCCACGGCUACAAAAACAAGUGAGUGAGAAGAGGUGGGAGGAAGAGAAACUACGCCACCUCCCCUGCAGCCGAGCGCACGCAGCAGCCUGGCGUGACAAGUGGGCGACGCCGGGGGGCAGGGAGCCGGGGUCCUCGGCCUUGGCCGGGGACCCCACCGCCCACCGCGCGGAGAACAACUUUUAGCCGGCAGCCCAGGCCAGCGCGGCACCUGUCUCCUGAGUCUCCACCGCUCCUCCCCAUCCAUCCCAAGGAAAUUCUCAAGAAUACGCUCUACAAAUCUACGUGCGCAUCGUUUUCCCCUCUCGUCGCGCCCGGGAGGAAGGAACGAGGCAAGGAGCUAAGCGUGCGUUCAGCCCUGGGGCAUUUUAUUAAUGCUUUUACGAGUUAGAAGAGUUGGGAUAAUUUACCAUCUGGAGUUUCUCUGCCUUGCUGAUCUGAGCUCAGACCUGCUAAUUUACCAGAGAUGAUUGAUAACACCCUGUAACAGCUGAGAGGAAAAUGGAAGAAGCAGAGAUACUUUUAGUGAAACAGAAUAAACCACUGAACAGGAAAAAUGAGGAAGCCGUGAGUACCAGUGGAAGGAACGAGCCAGGAAGAGGGACUGGAACCGUCUCAGAAGCCGUUCCCCUCAGCCUGGAACUUGCCCUGUCUCCUCGCAGAUGAGGUAGGAGGCUCAGCACAGGCUGGCGGGAGCAGCCCACAGCAGCAGUGAGGGUCAGUGGGCCUGUGAGUUAAGAAGAAGGUGGCACAGAGCGAGGGUCUCUGGGUCCUGUUUGACUUUUCCAUGACUGGGAUAAGUAGCCAGGGCUGGGCUAGUUGGAGAGUUACUUGAACCUCAGGUGACAGUUGUAAGGCAGCACAUGGUGAAAAAGAGUCCUAGCCUGGGAAAGUCCAAGAUCUUGGGUCUGCUUUCAGUUCACUCACCUAUCUCUGUGACAUAGCAAAGUCUCUUAACUUCUUUAAUUUUCUGAUUAGUGGUAUAGUUGCAGGAAUGAAAUAAAACUCGUCCUGAUUACUCAGAGAUUCAUUUACUGAUUACUCUUUCUGUGAUCUGAUCGAGUACAACAUCUCUCAAAAGGUAACAAUUUGAUAUUUCAGGAAAUUAGAGAAGUUAAGAGACUUUGCUGUAUUAUGCAGAGAGUUGACUGACAGCUGAGCCCAGACCCAAGAUUCAUUUAUAAAACAAAGGAGUUGAGAAGUACAUACUCUGAGGUUUAUCCUAAAUAAACUAGUCUAGGUAAGUGGCUGAGCUAGGUUUGCCAUGAAUCAAUCUGCUGAGUAUAUUUCUUGGUAACUAGUUCAUCUUUCCUUAAUUCAGUCAACAAAUAUGAUACCAAGUUUAGUAAGAUGAUGACAGAUGUCAUGUAAUACUCCAUCUGGAAGACUAUGUGCUUCUCAGCUUCCCUAACUUUUCUUAAUCUACCUUAAGCUUCCCUUCUGAAAGGUUUCUGUCUUUCCUAACAGUCUCUUCUUACCGCCAGCUACCUCUUGUGUUUAAGAAUUUAAGGAAGAUGAGCUAGGAAUCAAGAAAUACCCAGAACUGAUUCCUGUCACUGGCCCCACCCUGCCACUUGCCCAGAGCUGUGGUAUAAAUUUUUUUAAUAGGCUGAAAUAAAGAUAUGAAUAGUAUUUUGGUAUUAAGCAUUGAUAAAAGUAAAGGCCAUGAGAUAUACCUGCUCUCACCAUGUUAAUUUUCUAUUAUUGGUAUUAAUAAAUUAUUACUAACAUAUUAACAAGAAUUGCAUCAAGAAAAAAAGCAGCCACAGGCCAAAUCUUUUGAAUUUCAAAUGUUUAUAUUAAUGUAUUAUAUUCUAGAAAAGUAGAAUUGUCUUAAGUAGCUUUGUAAUAUAAAGUCAUCUAUCAGUCCAUGACACCUAUUAGAAUGUUUUAACCUUUGUCUCCCACUUUUUUGUUUCUACACUGAGUGUACUUGGUCUGGUAUUUGUGGCAUAACUUACAGAACACAUAAGAAUGAUACAGAUACUAUUUAAUGAUGAUCUAGUACAAGCUUAGAUAGCUAAGGUGAAAGCUUCUAUGGCCUUAACAUUUUCCUCUUGAAGAAUGUAUUUGCUGUAAUAAAAUACAGUGACUACUUGAAAUCUAUAAACUUAUGUGAGGUCUGGAUAAAUCUGAGCAACUUUCUUCUUUGUGCUCCAGGAACCCAUGCACUAUAUAUAUAAAUAAAGCUUAAGUAAACAUCACUGC
Piliocolobus tephrosceles (Ugandan red Colobus) is the source of this 3344-nucleotide long non-coding RNA. RefSeq lists it as uncharacterized. The record is from RefSeq and is a predicted model, not a curated record. NCBI's taxonomy places the organism in Eukaryota, Metazoa, Chordata, Mammalia, Primates, Cercopithecidae. The transcript has 5 exons.